GUCCCCGUAGCUCAACCGGAUAGAGCGACUCUCUUCUAAAGAGUAGGUUGCAGGUUCGAGUCCUGCCGGGGACA
This 74-nucleotide transfer RNA is filed under the name bacterium. Its description in RNAcentral is "tRNA-Arg". It matches the Rfam family "tRNA". From Rfam's summary of the family: Transfer RNA (tRNA) molecules are approximately 80 nucleotides in length. Their secondary structure includes four short double-helical elements and three loops (D, anti-codon, and T loops). Further hydrogen bonds mediate the characteristic L-shaped molecular structure. tRNAs have two regions of fundamental functional importance: the anti-codon, which is responsible for specific mRNA codon recognition, and the 3' end, to which the tRNAs corresponding amino acid is attached (by aminoacyl-tRNA synthetases). tRNAs cope with the degeneracy of the genetic code in two manners: having more than one tRNA (with a specific anti-codon) for a particular amino acid; and 'wobble' base-pairing, i.e. permitting non-standard base-pairing at the 3rd anti-codon position. The record is from RNAcentral.